AGAAUCAACGCUGGCGGCGUGCCUAACACAUGCAAGUCGAACGAGAAAGUGGAGCAAUCCAUGAGUAAAGUGGCGACCGGGUGAGUAACACGUGACUAACCUACCUUCGAGUGGGGGAUAACCUCGGGAAACCGAGGCUAAUACCGCAUAACAUCGCAAGAUCAAAGCAGCAAUGCGCUGGAAGAGGGGGUCGCGGCUGAUUAGCUAGUUGGCGGGUAACGGCCCACCAAGGCGAAGAU
Molecule: ribosomal RNA, 239 nt
Filed under: uncultured bacterium
Lineage: Bacteria
Description: partial small subunit ribosomal RNA
Rfam family: Bacterial small subunit ribosomal RNA
Source: RNAcentral